RNAcentral lists this non-coding RNA (26 nucleotides) under Macaca fascicularis (crab-eating macaque). The record is from RNAcentral. Lineage: Eukaryota; Metazoa; Chordata; Mammalia; Primates; Cercopithecidae. RNAcentral also lists the same sequence under 1 other name.
UCCAAAUAUCUUGGGCAAUGGGUCUC